GAAAAAAGCAGCCAGGCGCAUAGAAAAGAUAGAUGAACUCAAUAUUACCAGCCUUGAGCCUGUGUCCCUGAAUGAAUGACAGAAGGUCCAGGCCAGCCCAGGUGUCCCACAAUGCCUACCUAGGACCUACCUUCAUAUUCAGGACUCAUACAUAAUCUUCUUAGCCACGGCUUCUUCUGACCUUCCUGUAACCCCCAAGAACUCUCCACUUCAGAGCAUGACACUAGGAUCAUGGAAAUGAUGCACCUGCAGUUGGAUUCUCUUGACACAAAAGGGGUCUGAGUUGGAGAGAACAACAGGCAGAGUGGAAGAUGGUGAUCAGGCUAGGAAAAAGCUUUUCAGUGAGACGUCUCUGCGAGGAGACCAGGAACAACUGAACUGAAAGUCGCUGAGCUCUGUACCUUAAGGGCGUCUGAGCUGCUUGCAGUGGGUCCCCGAGGUUGCUGCUCAGCAUAUGACGGGUAUCAGGCUCCAUGAAUCUCAUGACCAAGGGAUGAACACAUGAAACUUGUAGAGACGUUGGCUGGUACCUGUGAGCAUUCAGGGCUCUCCCCACCCGGUAACUGACCAUCACCUUCCUCACUGGCCCCAGCUUCUCCAUGGGCACUAUUGCACAAGGACGCGCUCACCAGCAAAUGCCGGUCCUUCCGGUCCCCACAGGUGAGACUCAGGCCACCCUGCUCCGACCCGCCACGGGGUACACGGACUUUAAUGGAGUGACCGGCCUGGGGGGUCCUCAAAUGCAUAAGACCCUGGCACAAGCUGGAUGAGGGAUUUUUUUUAAAAAACUGGAAUGGCUAUGGUUUGCAUAACCAGAACUUCCAAAUUACUUAGCAAAACAAGUUUGCUUUUUAAUUAACAUGUGUUUUAAAAAAUGGUUUUAAUUAAAGUGGAUGGAGGAGAGAAGGAGUGAUGGAGAGAAAAUUCCUCACAGUUCCAAGUCUCAGUCCAGACUUUUUAAAAAAAAAUAAUGUGGGGGGCUGGCCUCGGUGGCCCAAGCUGAAGAUCCCAGCACUCAAGAUGCAGAGGUAGGAGGACCAAGGGUUCAAAGCUGGGCUGAAGAGACCUCUCAGCAGUUAGCAGCACUGGCUGCUCUUCCAGAGGUCCUGAGUUUAAUUCCCAGCAACCACAUGGUGGUUCACAACCAUCUGUAAUGGAGUCUGAUGUCCUCAUCUGGCACAUGGGUGUGCCUGCAGAUAGAACACUUAUAUACAUUAAAUAAAUAAAUAAAUCUUU
Molecule: long non-coding RNA, 1236 nt
Filed under: Rattus norvegicus (Norway rat)
Lineage: Eukaryota; Metazoa; Chordata; Mammalia; Rodentia; Muridae
Description: long non-coding RNA NONRATT029029
Source: RNAcentral